UGCUCCCUAUCCACUUCCUCUCAUACUAGAUCAAGGUUUUGCUGGUGUUUUGCAUGACUGGUGUGAACCGUUCCCUACAUAUCCUGGAACCUAUGAUUUGCUGCAUGCGAAUGGGCUGCUAUCACAUCUGUCUUCAGAGAGGUGCGGCAUGAUGGAUUUAUUCUUGGGGAUGGAUCGGAUUCUGCAAACUGAGGUACUCUUAUUUCCCCCUUGCUUAUAUUAUAUUUCUAUACUGCAAGAUGCAAAGUAAGAUGAAGAAGUCUAUUGUCUGUAUUUCCUUCUUUUGUUCCUAAUAUUGAUUUUAUAAUCCACCUUUAGAAAUCAAACUUCAUUUUGUAAGUUGUCAACUGAUACAAAUCUUGUUUUUCCUCUAUUUGCUCUGAACAUGAUGAAUUUGGCAAUGUAAUACAUGCUCAGAAUCCGAAGAACCUUGGAGGAGAAAUACAAGUUAAAGUUGUACUAAUAAUAAUAAGGGAGAUUCACUAUUAUACUCAAUACAUGGCCCCAAAUUAUAAAAA
Molecule: long non-coding RNA, 518 nt
Organism: Prunus persica (peach)
Lineage: Eukaryota; Viridiplantae; Streptophyta; Magnoliopsida; Rosales; Rosaceae
Exons: 3
Source: RefSeq, a predicted model, not a curated record